UUCGGAGGCUGAGGGUCGCAUAUCUAGACUACAGGCUGAUCUACAGGGCUCCAGACUGCAAUCUAUUUCCGAUGCGGAGCUUAUACGUUCUCUACAGACUGCUAAUGAAAUGCUGACCCAACAAACUUCAGACUCCACUGGGAAACAGACAGAGGCAAUCGAGGAAUUUCAACAAAAACUUCAAGAAGCUGAAGCCAAGCGAGCUGCGACUAUCUCUGAAUUGGCCGCUCUUCAAAACAGGUUAGUUUUAUUCAUUCAAUUUAUUAUUCGAGAGUAAGAGAUCUACAAAAUGCUGUAACAGAAUGGUGUAGUGAGGUCGUCGUCUAGGUGUCACCCCGACUACCUGGUCAUUUUGGCCAUACGCGACAAUCUGUACCCUCGUAAAAAUAUACCAUUGCCGUCAAGCUGUAACCCCAUCUACUUGUCACCUACUGGACCGAAGGUGCCAACUUGUCAUGACCGUAAACGACAACCUGACACCUCGCACACACACGUCAGAGUGUUACCCCGACUACUGGUUAUGAUGUAGAAUUGAAUUCUAAGCACUUUUGGUUCAGCAGCAUUUUCCCGUCAAACGCACGGUUCGGGAGAUAUUCGACGUUUUUGCUAUUUUUAGGACAAUUUUUUUCGAGUUGGUUGAAAACAGAAAAAAUUAAUAAUAAGCCCUUUUGAUGACUGAACCAGA
Nilaparvata lugens (brown planthopper) is the source of this 685-nucleotide long non-coding RNA. RefSeq lists it as uncharacterized. The transcript is spliced from 2 exons. NCBI's taxonomy places the organism in Eukaryota, Metazoa, Arthropoda, Insecta, Hemiptera, Delphacidae. The record is from RefSeq and is a predicted model, not a curated record.